Molecule: transfer RNA, 72 nt
Filed under: Rudarius ercodes (whitespotted pygmy filefish)
Lineage: Eukaryota; Metazoa; Chordata; Actinopteri; Tetraodontiformes; Monacanthidae
Description: tRNA-Asp
Rfam family: tRNA
About the family: Transfer RNA (tRNA) molecules are approximately 80 nucleotides in length. Their secondary structure includes four short double-helical elements and three loops (D, anti-codon, and T loops). Further hydrogen bonds mediate the characteristic L-shaped molecular structure. tRNAs have two regions of fundamental functional importance: the anti-codon, which is responsible for specific mRNA codon recognition, and the 3' end, to which the tRNAs corresponding amino acid is attached (by aminoacyl-tRNA synthetases). tRNAs cope with the degeneracy of the genetic code in two manners: having more than one tRNA (with a specific anti-codon) for a particular amino acid; and 'wobble' base-pairing, i.e. permitting non-standard base-pairing at the 3rd anti-codon position.
Source: RNAcentral
AAGGCGCUAAUUAAAUAGAAAUAAUACUGCUUUGUCAAGGCAGACUUGUGGGUUAAAACCCCGCGCGCCUUU